Molecule: transfer RNA, 73 nt
Filed under: Minicystis rosea
Lineage: Bacteria; Pseudomonadati; Myxococcota; Polyangiales; Polyangiaceae
Description: tRNA-Asp
Rfam family: tRNA
About the family: Transfer RNA (tRNA) molecules are approximately 80 nucleotides in length. Their secondary structure includes four short double-helical elements and three loops (D, anti-codon, and T loops).
Source: RNAcentral
GCCCGCGUAUGCUAAUGGCGAAGCAGCUCGAUUGUCGAUCGAGUCGAUGGGGGUUCGACUCCCCUCGUGGGCG